Molecule: ribosomal RNA, 486 nt
Filed under: uncultured bacterium
Lineage: Bacteria
Description: partial 16S ribosomal RNA
Rfam family: Bacterial small subunit ribosomal RNA
Source: RNAcentral
AUUGAACGCUGGCGGCAUGCCUUACACAUGCAAGUCGAACGGCAGCACGGGUGCUUGCACCUGGUGGCGAGUGGCGAACGGGUGAGUAAUACAUCGGAACAUGUCCUGUAGUGGGGGAUAGCCCGGCGAAAGCCGGAUUAAUACCGCAUACGAUCUACGGAUGACAGCGGGGGACCUUCGGGCCUUGCGCUAUAGGGUUGGCCGAUGGCUGAUUAGCUAGUUGGUGGGGUAAAGGCCUACCAAGGCGACGAUCAGUAGCUGGUCUGAGAGGACGACCAGCCACACUGGGACUGAGACACGGCCCAGACUCCUACGGGAGGCAGCAGUGGGGAAUUUUGGACAAUGGGCGAAAGCCUGAUCCAGCAAUGCCGCGUGUGUGAAGAAGGCCUUCGGGUUGUAAAGCACUUUUGUCCGGAAAGAAAUCCUUGGCCCUAAUACGGUCGGGGGAUGACGGUACCGGAAGAAUAAGCACCGGCUAACUACGUG